This 235-nucleotide ribosomal RNA is filed under the name uncultured bacterium. RNAcentral describes it as "partial 16S ribosomal RNA". It matches the Rfam family "Bacterial small subunit ribosomal RNA", at positions 102 to 334 of the family's 1533-position model. The record is from RNAcentral.
CGACGGGUGAGUAACGCGUAUGCAACUUGCCUAUCAGAGGGGGAUAACCCGGCGAAAGUCGGACUAAUACCGCAUGAAGCAGGGAUCCCGCAUGGGAAUAUUUGCUAAAGAUUCAUCGCUGAUAGAUAGGCAUGCGUUCCAUUAGGCAGUUGGCGGGGUAACGGCCCACCUAGUCUUCGAUGGAUAGGGGUUCUGAGAGGAAGGUCCCCCACAUUGGAACUGAGACACGGUCCAA